GAUGAACGCUGGCGGCGUGCCUAAUACAUGCAAGUCGAGCGAACGGACGAGAAGCUUGCUUCUCUGAUGUUAGCGGCGGACGGGUGAGUAACACGUGGAUAACCUACCUAUAAGACUGGGAUAACUUCGGGAAACCGGAGCUAAUACCGGAUAAUAUUUUGAACCGCAUGGUUCAAAAGUGAAAGACGGUCUUGCUGUCACUUAUAGAUGGAUCCGCGCUGCAUUAGCUAGUUGGUAAGGUAACGGCUUACCAAGGCAACGAUGCAUAGCCGACCUGAGAGGGUGAUCGGCCACACUGGAACUGAGACACGGUCCAGACUCCUACGGGAGGCAGCAGUAGGGAAUCUUCCGCAAUGGGCGAAAGCCUGACGGAGCAACGCCGCGUGAGUGAUGAAGGUCUUCGGAUCGUAAAACUCUGUUAUUAGGGAAGAACAUAUGUGUAAGUAACUGUGCACAUCUUGACGGUACCUAAUCAGAAAGCCACGGCUAACUACGUGCCAGCAGCCGCGGUAAUACGUAGGUGGCAAGCGUUAUCCGGAAUUAUUGGGCGUAAAGCGCGCGUAGGCGGUUUUUUAAGUCUGAUGUGAAAGCCCACGGCUCAACCGUGGAGGGUCAUUGGAAACUGGAAAACUUGAGUGCAGAAGAGGAAAGUGGAAUUCCAUGUGUAGCGGUGAAAUGCGCAGAGAUAUGGAGGAACACCAGUGGCGAAGGCGACUUUCUGGUCUGUAACUGACGCUGAUGUGCGAAAGCGUGGGGAUCAAACAGGAUUAGAUACCCUGGUAGUCCACGCCGUAAACGAUGAGUACUAAGUGUUAGGGGGUUUCCGCCCCUUAGUGCUGCAGCUAACGCAUUAAGCACUCCGCCUGGGGAGUACGACCGCAAGGUUGAAACUCAAAGGAAUUGACGGGGACCCGCACAAGCGGUGGAGCAUGUGGUUUAAUUCGAAGCAACGCGAAGAACCUUACCAAAUCUUGACAUCCUUUGACAACUCUAGAGAUAGAGCCUUCCCCUUCGGGGGACAAAGUGACAGGUGGUGCAUGGUUGUCGUCAGCUCGUGUCGUGAGAUGUUGGGUUAAGUCCCGCAACGAGCGCAACCCUUAAGCUUAGUUGCCAUCAUUAAGUUGGGCACUCUAAGUUGACUGCCGGUGACAAACCGGAGGAAGGUGGGGAUGACGUCAAAUCAUCAUGCCCCUUAUGAUUUGGGCUACACACGUGCUACAAUGGACAAUACAAAGGGCAGCGAAACCGCGAGGUCAAGCAAAUCCCAUAAAGUUGUUCUCAGUUCGGAUUGUAGUCUGCAACUCGACUACAUGAAGCUGGAAUCGCUAGUAAUCGUAGAUCAGCAUGCUACGAUGAAUACGUUCCCGGGUCU
RNAcentral lists this ribosomal RNA (1372 nucleotides) under uncultured bacterium. Its description in RNAcentral is "bacterial SSU rRNA". It matches the Rfam family "Bacterial small subunit ribosomal RNA", at positions 28 to 1381 of the family's 1533-position model. The record is from RNAcentral.